UACGUAGGGUGCAAGCGUUAAUCGGAAUUAUUGGGCGUAAAGCGUGCGCAGGCGGUUCUGUAAGACAGUUGUGAAAUCCCCGGGCUUAACCUGGGAAUUGCAUCUGUGACUGCAGAGCUAGAGUACGGCAGAGGGGGAUGGAAUUCCGCGUGUAGCAGUGAAAUGCGUAGAUAUGCGGAGGAACACCGAUGGCGAAGGCAGUCCCCUGGGCCUGUACUGACGCUCAUGCACGAAAGCGUGGGGAGCAAACAGG
RNAcentral lists this ribosomal RNA (253 nucleotides) under uncultured bacterium. RNAcentral describes it as "partial 16S ribosomal RNA". It matches the Rfam family "Bacterial small subunit ribosomal RNA", at positions 524 to 776 of the family's 1533-position model. The record is from RNAcentral.